RNAcentral lists this ribosomal RNA (381 nucleotides) under uncultured archaeon. Its description in RNAcentral is "bacterial SSU rRNA". It matches the Rfam family "Archaeal small subunit ribosomal RNA", at positions 473 to 853 of the family's 1478-position model. The record is from RNAcentral.
AUACCGGCAGCUCAAGUGGUGGCCAUUUUUAUUGGGCCUAAAGCGUUCGUAGCCGGUUUGAUAAGUCUCUGGUGAAAUCCUAUAGCUUAACUGUGGGACUUGCUGGAGAUACUAUUAGACUUGAGGUCGGGAGAGGUUAGCGGUACUCCCAGGGUAGGGGUGAAAUCCUGUAAUCCUGGGAGGACCACCUGUGGCGAAGGCGGCUAACUGGAACGAACCUGACGGUGAGGGACGAAAGCCAGGGGCGCGAACCGGAUUAGAUACCCGGGUAGUCCUGGCCGUAAACGAUGUGGACUUGGUGUUGGAAUGGCUUCGAGCUGCUCCAGUGCCGAAGGGAAGCUGUUAAGUCCACCGCCUGGGAAGUACGGUCGCAAGACUGAA